AAUUAACAAGUUCUAGCUCCUAGAGUUCAAAUCUUAGGUUUCCAAGCACUAAAAGGCCUGAAGUUCAGUUAGUUAAAGGUUUCAGAGGGUCUGGUGCUAUUUCAAGUGCAAAUUGGAUCAUUCUAGCUUGGUUUGUGUGAAAUUAUUUCCUGGACUAAUCGACACUAUUUGUUGAACUGUGAAUUUUCUUUGAGCUGUUGUUGGUUGUUGAUUGUUGCUGCUGACUUCUACCUUUUCUUACUUUGCUUCAAUCUCCAGGUACUUGAUCCUGUAAAGUUGCUUGAUUGUCCCAGAAUUUGUGAAAUGAAAUGGAAACCAGAGAUGAAGUUUAUGCAUCAUUCUAAUUUGAAAUUCUGUUUAUUAGCUUUCUAAAUCUAUUUGUCUAGGGUAGUAUAUAAGCAUAUUUUGAUGUUAACUAUUGUGAGAAGCUG
RNAcentral lists this long non-coding RNA (431 nucleotides) under Nicotiana benthamiana. Its description in RNAcentral is "long non-coding RNA (NBEN_LNC041696)". Lineage: Eukaryota; Viridiplantae; Streptophyta; Magnoliopsida; Solanales; Solanaceae. The record is from RNAcentral.